GACGAACGCUGGCGGCGUGCUUAACACAUGCAAGUCGAACGGAAAGGCCCUGCUUUUGUGGGGUGCUCGAGUGGCGAACGGGUGAGUAACACGUGAGUAACCUGCCCUUGACUUUGGGAUAAAUUCAGGAAACUGGGGCUAAUACCGGAUAGGAGCUCCUGCUGCAUGGUGGGGGUUGGAAAGUUUCGGCGGUUGGGGAUGGACUAGCGGCUUAUCAGCUUGUUGGUGGGGUAGUGGCUUACCAAGGCUUUGACGGGUAGCCGGCCUGGGAGGGUGACCGGCCACAUUGGGACUGAGAUACGGCCCAGACGCCUACGGGAGGCAGCAGUGGGGAAUAUUGCACAAUGGGCGGAAGCCUGAUGCAGCAACGCCGCGUGCGGGAUGACGGCCUUCGGGUUGUAAACCGCUUUCGCCUGUGACGAAGCGUGAGUGACGGUAAUGGGUAAAGAAGCACCGGCUAACUACGUG
Molecule: ribosomal RNA, 468 nt
Filed under: uncultured bacterium
Lineage: Bacteria
Description: partial 16S ribosomal RNA
Rfam family: Bacterial small subunit ribosomal RNA
Source: RNAcentral